UACGUAGGGGCCGAGCGUUUGUCCGGAGUUAUUGGGCGUAAAGCGCGCGCAGGCGGCCUCGCGCGCCCGACGUGAAAGCCCCCGGCUUAACCGGGGAGGGUCGUUUGGGGACGGCGGGGCUUGAGGGCGGGAGAGGUCGGUGGAAUUCCCGGUGUAGUGGUGAAAUGCGUAGAGAUCGGGAGGAACACCUGUGGCGAAGGCGGCCGACUGGGCCGACCCUGACGCUGAGGCGCGGAAGGCGUGGGGAGCGAACAGG
This 256-nucleotide ribosomal RNA is filed under the name uncultured bacterium. RNAcentral describes it as "partial 16S ribosomal RNA". It matches the Rfam family "Bacterial small subunit ribosomal RNA", at positions 524 to 776 of the family's 1533-position model. The record is from RNAcentral.